AACCCAUGGUGAGGGCAUUCCCUUCGGUACUCCUUGGAACGUUCCCAAGCAUCAUAGAAAGGCUCGUCAGUCGUUUUCUUAAAAUUGGAGAUGUUAUGCCUCAGAGC
This is a small nucleolar RNA of Brassica oleracea var. oleracea, 107 nucleotides long. It matches the Rfam family "Plant small nucleolar RNA R71". Rfam says of the family: R71 is a member of the C/D box family of snoRNAs containing the C (UGAUGA) and D (CUGA) box motifs. Multiple nearly identical copies of this snoRNA have been identified in Arabidopsis, and it is thought to function as a 2'-O-ribose methylation guide for 18S ribosomal RNA. NCBI's taxonomy places the organism in Eukaryota, Viridiplantae, Streptophyta, Magnoliopsida, Brassicales, Brassicaceae. The record is from Rfam.